This 399-nucleotide unclassified non-coding RNA is filed under the name fungal sp. RNAcentral describes it as "partial contains 5.8S ribosomal RNA, internal transcribed spacer 2, and large subunit ribosomal RNA". The stretch from base 1 to 105 matches the Rfam family "5.8S ribosomal RNA", at positions 50 to 154 of the family's 154-position model. Lineage: Eukaryota; Fungi. RNAcentral also lists the same sequence under 3 other names. The record is from RNAcentral.
GAAAUGCGAUACGUAAUGUGAAUUGCAGAAUUCAGUGAAUCAUCGAAUCUUUGAACGCAUAUUGCGCUCUUUGGUAUUCCGAAGAGCAUGCUUGUUUGAGUAUCAGUAAACACCUCAAAGCUUUUGGAUUUUUUAAUCGAAAAGCUUUGGACUUGAGCAAUCCCAACACCAAUCUUUUUGAGAUCGGUGGCGGGUUGCUUGAAAUGCAGGUGCAGCUGGACAUUCUCCUGAGCUAAAAGCAUAUUCAUUUAGUCCCGUCAAACGGAUUAUUACUUUUGCUGCAGCUAACAUAAAGGGAGUUUGACCGUAUUGGCUGACUGAUGCAGGAUUUCACAAGGGUCGGCAACGAUUCUUGUUAAACUCGAUCUCAAAUCAAGUAAGACUACCCGCUGAACUUAA